Non-coding RNA from Cinara cedri, 390 nucleotides. Lineage: Eukaryota; Metazoa; Arthropoda; Insecta; Hemiptera; Aphididae. The record is from the annotation of a GenBank genome assembly.
UAUCAUUAGAGUACUUUUAUUAUUUCUUUUCCAAGUCAAGCACAGAAGACACUUACAUGAUAAUUUUACAAAAAACAGGUGUGAAAUGCUUGAAUAUUGUAACCCAAAAAUUUAGAUUACAUAAAAAGUCCUUAAUAAUUUUGUCUAAGUUUUAAAAACCCUGUAUUUAUUUUUAUACUAACCAAAUCGGUCGGCCUAAAUGCAGUUUAUCUCCCGAGUGAUAUUUUGGAAUUUUUUUCCAAAAUGUGUGUUUUUACAUGGGUAAUUUGAUGGUACUUUCAAACAAAAUCGUACAAACUUCAUUUGGAAGUUAUGGUCAAAAUGAUUGACUUUUUUAAAAAUCAUGUUUUUGAGUUUAAAAUACUAAAAAUUUAUAAUUUUAGAUUUUUU